UACGGAGGAUGCAAGCGUUAUCCGGAAUGAUUGGGCGUAAAGCGUCCGCAGGUGGCUGUGUAAGUCUGCUGUCAAAGACCGGGGCUUAACUUCGGAAAGGCAGUGGAAACUGAACAGCUAGAGUAUGGUAGGGGCAGAGGGAAUUCCUGGUGUAGCGGUGAAAUGCGUAGAGAUCAGGAAGAACAUCGGUGGCGAAGGCGCUCUGCUGGACCAUAACUGACACUCAGGGACGAAAGCUAGGGGAGCGAAUGGG
Molecule: ribosomal RNA, 253 nt
Filed under: uncultured bacterium
Lineage: Bacteria
Description: partial 16S ribosomal RNA
Rfam family: Bacterial small subunit ribosomal RNA
Source: RNAcentral